CUGGAGAGCUGGGAUUCAAAAAUAGUGAGGCUUUAACCACUAAACUAUAUUGUAUUUCAAAUUAAGAACAUGGAUGUCUGAAAUGAAUAGAAACAUUCUAAAAAGUAUAGGCCCCAAUGUAAGAACCAAUUAUAACUACUUAAUCAAAAUUACAAGCUAGUCAGAAUUUUGUUAUUUCAUUACAUCAAUGCUCAUUUAUUUAGCACCCAUGACUCAGCAUAGCAACAGAGGAUGUGACAAUGCAUAAUAACAAUACUAAGUGCUUGCCCUGGAGUCAUCUAUGAUAUGGCUGUGGAAACAAAACUGACACAUAGGACAUUCAUAGAGCAACCAACGUGUGUAGUUAAAUGCUAAGUCAUGUGUCAUAUUAAAUUGUAUAUUAGCAGGGCAUCAAGAAGAGAAAGAAUGCAGAAGGCCAGUGUGGCUUGGAAAAUACUUGCAAAGGAUCUUAAUGAUAGAGUGAAGCUGGAUGAGGAGAGGGGGUAGAAGGAUACACCUGUCAAGAAGAGCAGGAUGAAGACAAAUGGAAGCUCAGAGAGAGGAAUGAGCAUGGCAAAUCAAGAGGCAAAUGCAAGCAGUUCCUGUAGAGGCAGUGAGAAACGACCUCCACUAGCAGAGUUUUGUCUGGUUGCUGAUCGGCCGCAUCUGCUGUGUGUGAAAUGACAGACGGAUUAUUCAGGAAAUUCAAUACACCCACAGAGAGAAGCCAAACAUGACAGCUUAUUUUGGGAACCAUUCUAUCAUGAGGACACAUUUGUUCUUGGAGCAGCCUCAGAAAGCCUCCCUUUCAUCAAACUAGGUCUUGAUUAAGGGGACUGCUGAUGCCUGCUACAUAGAGAAUGAUUUUCUCUUGA
Long non-coding RNA from Pipistrellus kuhlii (Kuhl's pipistrelle), 854 nucleotides. RefSeq lists it as uncharacterized. The record is from RefSeq and is a predicted model, not a curated record. Lineage: Eukaryota; Metazoa; Chordata; Mammalia; Chiroptera; Vespertilionidae. The transcript is spliced from 2 exons.